CAGUGGGAUAAGUAAAAGGAAGCAAUCUGAUAUGUGAAAUUGAGCACUGGGGAUGCACUGUAUGGUGACUAAUAUAACAAAAUAAAAAUUAAAAAAAAAAAAAAAAGAAGUUGAAUGUUUCAUUGAACUCUUCAGCCAGAGUUGGGAGCUUCCCUCUUCCAUCUUCCCAUAGCCCUGAGAACAGAACUGUGUAAUUUCAGCCAUUACGAAGGCUUUUAAUCCUUUGUUGACCGUUAGGUUAAUGAUAUUUAAUGGUGCCUGUGAUAUUUUUGUAUCUGUUCAGUAAAUAUUUGUUAAAUAAAUGAUGUGUGCCUAUUCAGGAUGAUGACUGAGCUUAUAAGAUUGAUAGAGAUUUCAAGAUGGAAGAUAAGCUCACCUCAACUUCCCAGAUUUGUCUUUUCCUUCACAGGAAGAUACCUCAAUGUGUCUCCUGGUGAUGGAAGAGAGGGGCCAGGCUGACAGGGAUGGAAGAUACUAAAUAAAAAGGGGGCCCAGUUCCUCUGCAUGAUAAGAGCAGUGCUAAAUAAAUAAAUAAACCAACAAGCGAAUGAAUGAAUG
RNAcentral lists this long non-coding RNA (558 nucleotides) under Ursus maritimus (polar bear). Its description in RNAcentral is "lncRNA (ENSUMAG00000023051.1)". The record is from RNAcentral. Lineage: Eukaryota; Metazoa; Chordata; Mammalia; Carnivora; Ursidae.